RNAcentral lists this ribosomal RNA (433 nucleotides) under uncultured bacterium. RNAcentral's name for it is "partial 16S ribosomal RNA". It matches the Rfam family "Bacterial small subunit ribosomal RNA", at positions 29 to 507 of the family's 1533-position model. The record is from RNAcentral.
AACGAACGCUGGCGGCAUGCCUAACACAUGCAAGUCGAACGAGACCUUCGGGUCUAGUGGCGCACGGGUGCGUAACGCGUGGGAACCUGCCCUUAGGUUCGGAAUAACUCCCCGAAAGGGGUGCUAAUACCGGAUAAUGUCUUCGGACCAAAGAUUUAUCGCCUUUGGAUGGGCCCGCGUUGGAUUAGCUAGUUGGUAGGGUAAAAGCCUACCAAGGCGACGAUCCAUAGCUGGUCUGAGAGGAUGAUCAGCCACACUGGGACUGAGACACGGCCCAGACUCUGCGGGGAGGCAGAGGGGGGGAAUAUUGGAAAGGGGGAGAAAGCUUGCUACCGCACGGCCGGGUGAGUAAGAAGGCACUAGGGGUGGAAAACUUUUUUUCCCCGGGAGGAUAAUGACAGUACCGGAAAAAAAACCCCCGGCUACCUCCGUC